CCUACGGGUGACAGCAGUGAGGAAUAUUGGUCAAUGGACGCAAGUCUGAACCAGCCAUGCCGCGUGCAUGAAGACGGCUCUAUGAGUGGUAAACUGCGUUUGUACGAGGGUAAACGCAGAUACGCGUAUCUGUCUGAGAGUAUCGUACGAAUAAGGAUCGGCUAACUCCGUGCCAGCAGCCGCGGUAAUACGGAGGAUUCAAGCGUUAUCCGGAUUUAUUGGGUUUAAAGGGUGCGUAGGCGGUCGUAUAAGUUAGAGGUGAAAUCCCGAGGCUCAACUUCGGAAUUGCCUCUGAUACUGUUCGGCUAGAGAGUAGUGGCGGUAGGCGGAAUGUAUGGUGUAGCGGGGAAAUGCUUAGAGAUCAUACAGAACACCGAUUGCGAAGGCAGCUUACCAAGCUACUUCUGACGUUGAGGCACGAAAGCGUGGGGAGCAAACAGGAUUAGAUACCCUUGUAGUC
RNAcentral lists this ribosomal RNA (460 nucleotides) under uncultured bacterium. RNAcentral describes it as "partial 16S ribosomal RNA". It matches the Rfam family "Bacterial small subunit ribosomal RNA", at positions 338 to 795 of the family's 1533-position model. The record is from RNAcentral.